CGUCAACCUGUAUAUUCUUCCCUUUAUCAGACAAUACAAACACAGACUGUCACAGAUGGAAGGUUUUUUCCAACUGUAAAUGUAAGUAAUUGAGUCUAGAGAAGUGGUUAUUCCCACUCAAAUACUAGAAGCUGGAGUACUGGAAUUCUUGUGGAGUCUGCUUAUAUUAUUCCUGUGCCAGUAAGGAAUAUUCCAUUUUCCCCCCCUUGCUUUCCAGAUGACUACCUUUAGUCAUUUCAUGUCCAUUGGUGCAUAAUGUCCUUAUUUCCCAAUAAUUUAUACUUUGUUGCAGGAGAGGAAAAUUGCUCUGUGCUGGUGUGAACAGAGAUGUACAGAUUUCCACGGCCAGUCCCACAGAUGUUUUCCAAGGAACAGCUGCAAGAACAUUUCCAGCAUAGUUGUGUCCUAAGCUACCGUAUCCAGGCACGUUUCACUAACAUCCCCUUGACACUUGCCAGAAGAGAUAAUUCAGAUACACUUUCUCAGAUGUACCCUCAGUGAACAUGAUCCUGAUCCACAUGGAAAAGUGGAAAUCACUGUUACGGGGCGGCAAAGAUCCCUGGGAAAAGGCACGGCCACAAGUGGCACAGCACCACCACACACUGGGCAAGGUUAUGAGCUCCUGCAGUGCUGAUAUCAACUCCCCAGGACAUAAACUACCCACUUAUUAACGAUGAUGUCUGCAGUGGAGUACAACCACAGUCAGCUGAUUAAAAGCAACGGAGAAAAGGAAGGAAUUUUGAUGUUCUGGAAGGGAAAAAAUGGAAUAAAACCUGGAUAUUAAUUGACACCCCCGGGUCAUUCACGCUGCCAAUACUAAAAGGUAAAAUUGGGAAUGCUGUUGAGGAGGAGGCACAUUCCUAUCUGCUGUUGGUGCUCCUGCGUGCUGUGACAGCCAUUUCUGACUACUCAUCUGUUUUCUAGGAAGAAUGCUGGAUUUACAGGCUGAACAAUCCCAAUGCACAUGGACACCUCCUGUCCAGCCUCUCAUCCACCAGCACCCCCAGGUCCUCCUUAUCGGGGCGAGAUCCCUUUUCCACAUUUCAGUGUUUGGCUGUGAACCCCUGCAACCAAAGUGUUCUUCCUUGGCUGACAUGGCCCUUGGGAGUCUUUCCACCACUCCAAGACAUCCAGCUUUUGUCCAGGGCAUCAAGUCCAACGCAAAACACCUGCCUGCCGUUGGACAGUGGCCGUGCUCCAGGUGUGCCUCAUUGCAAUCACCAAGCAGUGUCUCUCUAAAUCCCUUGGUUGUGGUGACUGCCACAAACUACCAGUGGGAUCUUGGAAAACUGCCACAGCUUUACAGACUUCUUAAACGCCGACUCUUAAGCAACGAGUCCCAGAAGAAUUAGAAUGGAAUUGUGAAAGCGGGAUAAAAUUCCAGCGGGACUCGCCCUUCUCUGC
This is a long non-coding RNA of Manacus vitellinus (golden-collared manakin), 1404 nucleotides long. RefSeq lists it as uncharacterized. The transcript is spliced from 3 exons. The record is from RefSeq and is a predicted model, not a curated record. NCBI's taxonomy places the organism in Eukaryota, Metazoa, Chordata, Aves, Passeriformes, Pipridae.